RNAcentral lists this ribosomal RNA (406 nucleotides) under uncultured bacterium. RNAcentral describes it as "partial 16S ribosomal RNA". It matches the Rfam family "Bacterial small subunit ribosomal RNA", at positions 30 to 526 of the family's 1533-position model. The record is from RNAcentral.
AUUGAACGCUGGCGGCAGGCCUAACACAUGCAAGUCGAGCGAGCGGCGGACGGGUGAGUAAUGUCUGGGUAUCUGCCCGAUGGAGGGGGAUAACUACUGGAAACGGUAGCUAAUACCGCAUACUAUCAGAUGUGCCCAUAUGGGAUUGGCUAGUAGGUGGGGUAAUGGCUCACCUAGGCGACGAUCCCUAGCUGGUCUGAGAGGAUGACCAGGAACACUGGAACUGAGACACGGACCAGACUCCUACGGGAGGCAGCAGUGGGGAAUAUUGCACAAUGGGCGCAAGCCUGAUGCAGCCAUGCCGCGUGUAUGAAGAAGGCCUUAGGGUUGUAAAGCACUUUCAGCGGGGAGGCGUUACUCGCAGAAGAAGCACCGGCUAACUCCGUGCCAGCAGCCGCGGUAAUAC